GUCGAGCGGAUCAAUGGGGAGCUUGCUCCCCUGAGAUCAGCGGCGGACGGGUGAGUAACACGUGGGCAACCUGCCUGUAAGACUGGGAUAACUCCGGGAAACCGGGGCUAAUACCGGAUAAUACUGACCACCACAUGGUGGAAAGUUGAAAGAUGGCUUUUAGCUAUCACUUACAGAUGGGCCCGCGGCGCAUUAGCUAGUUGGUGAGGUAAGGGCUCACCAAGGCGACAAUGCGUAGCCAACCUGAAAGGGUGAUCGGCCACACUGGGACUGAAACACGGCCCAAACUCCUACGGGAGGCAGCAGUAGGGAAUCUUCGGCAAUGGGCGAAAGCCUGACCGAGCAACGCCGCGUGAGCGAUGAAGGCCUUCGGGUCGUAAAGCUCUGUUGUUAGGGAAAAACAAGUACCGUUCGAAUAGGGCGGUACCUUGACGGUACCUAACCAGAAAGCCACGGCUAACUACGUGCCAGCAGCCGCGGUAAUACGUAGGUGGCAAGCGUUGUCCGGAAUUAUUGGGCGUAAAGCGCGCGCAGGCGGUCUCUUAAGUCUGAUGUGAAAGCCCACGGCUCAACCGUGGAGGGCCAUUGGAAACUGGGGGACUUGAGUACUGGAGAGGAGAGUGGAAUUCCAUGUGUAGCGGUGAAAUGCGUAGAUAUAUGGAGGAACACCAGUGGC
RNAcentral lists this ribosomal RNA (676 nucleotides) under Bacillus sp. (in: firmicutes). RNAcentral describes it as "bacterial SSU rRNA". It matches the Rfam family "Bacterial small subunit ribosomal RNA", at positions 61 to 716 of the family's 1533-position model. Lineage: Bacteria; Bacillati; Bacillota; Bacilli; Caryophanales; Bacillaceae. The record is from RNAcentral.